CCACAACUCCCGCAGGAAAGCCUAAGGAAUAAUGCCCAUGGAGGACUGUAAUAAAGGCAUAGUCCCACAGAGUCUCUCUCUUUCUCUGUCUCUUGACCCCCACUCGCUGGCUGAGCUCCCUGUCACCUGAACUUCCCAUAGGCCUCCUGUUGGCACUCUUAUCUCUGGGACAUCUUAAUUAUCCUCUGUGAUCCACACUAAAGUAUUUUGAAGAAUAACAAAGCUCUCCAAGGGUCUUAAUACAGCUGCCUCGGCAACAUGGCCUCAUGGUUUUUGGAUUUAAUGGGAGAGCUGGUGUCAACAACUUUUUCAAUCCAGAUGCUCUGUGAUCUGUGUGCUUUGAAGGAAAGGAGAGGAAGUGCUGUGUGUUUCAACUGAAGGACUCUAUUGGUAAUUCUUUGAUAUCCAGGUAAUACUCUCAAAAUCUGCCAUGUAACUCCACAUUGACAUUAGUUUCCUGGCUUCAAGAGGGGACUGAGAAGGAGCUGCAGUAUUACUGGUGAGCACUGGUGAUGGAAAAAGUGCAGGGCCCACAGCUCAGGACAACGGAGGCCAGCCAAGCAAUAAAGUCAGAGAAAAACCUCACAGUGACAACUCUGAGUAAUCGGGAGGCAAAUGCAAGCUCUACUUUUGUACUUAAACAAGUAUUUUUGAAGAGCUCAGAGCUAGCAUGGUUUAGGUAUUUGGAUUGAAAUGUCAAUAUUAAUGGGACUUCAUUGAUAGAUUUGAGGAAUAUUGGGUCACCUGACUAAAACCACAGUGACCAAUCUUUGUUUAUCAUUGUCCCCCUGCACAAUAUUUCUAAUUGUUUUCUUAAAGCUAGAUCCCCAGAUGAUGAGUUACCCAGUUUUUCAAUUUGGGUUUGCCCCCCAAACAAACCCUAAGGCAAGUAUUUGUGUGCAAGGAGUUUAUUUGGAAGAUCCCAGCAUGCCCAAGUGAGGAAUUGGAAAAACUGAAAUGGAGAAAAAAGAAAAACCAAUGAAAGGUGCUUUAAUAAGUGGAUUACUCCCAUGGGCAACAGGGACUGAAACCUACUAGGGACACUUUGAGAAACCAUAUGCAACACACUCAGAAUCAGUCUACAAAGAUUGGCAAGCUGAGGCAUUGAUAUAUUUGUUAGUAUCUCCUUUCUUUGGAGGUUGCUUCAGGUUUAUUAACUCCAGAAAAUGGCUACUUGUGGCUGAGCAGAAUGAUAAGAGAGGUGAUACAUUUGAGAUGUAAACUUGUCAGAGGGCUGAAAAUUCUAUGUGACCAUUACCAAAGCACACAAGUGGGAUGAGGGGUAAGGGAUGGAGCAUUGGCAGCAUCAGCUACACUGAGUUUACCAUGUCUGUAUUUCAAUAUACUGUUCUUGUGAAUAUGUGCCAUAUAUUUAGGAUUGUUAUUCUUUUGCUUUCUUUCAACUAGGAAUCACAAAGUAUCUAGAUAUAUAAGAUAGACAAUACCUCUAAAGCUUUUUUCAAUCUCUGUGUCAUAGUUCUGUUAAGCAACCAAAGCAUGUGGGCCAUUCUACUUUGAAGGUCUGCUGGAAUGUGUAUUUCUCCUUGGAAAGAAUAAAUAUUGAGGCACAAAGAGGCUUGAAAUGUGGAAGAGGAAUGUGCUACCAUAGCAGCCUCACUCUGAGGGUGGCCUAAAUUGACUUGGCAUUUUGGCUCAUAGCUUUGAAAAUUCCCUUUAUUUCUACCCCAAAUUCAAGUUGUCGGAUGUCAGUACCCAUUUAUGUAUAUAGCGUUUUGUUUUCACUUUCCAGUUCUCCCUCAUUCUACUUGUAAUAAAUCAAC
Molecule: long non-coding RNA, 1781 nt
Filed under: Homo sapiens (human)
Lineage: Eukaryota; Metazoa; Chordata; Mammalia; Primates; Hominidae
Description: HSALNT0112409
Source: RNAcentral